GGAUUAGGUUCUCGUAUGUGACCUGCGGAGGGAUCAUUA
Molecule: ribosomal RNA, 39 nt
Filed under: Dothideomycetes sp. 3 GS-2016
Lineage: Eukaryota; Fungi; Ascomycota; Dothideomycetes
Description: partial 18S ribosomal RNA
Source: RNAcentral